UACAGAGGGUGCAAGCGUUAAUCGGAAUUACUGGGCGUAAAGCGUGCGCAGGCGGUUCUAUAAGACAGAUGUGAAAUCCCCGGGCUCAACCUGGGAACUGCAUUUGUGACUGUAGAGCUGGAGUGCGGCAGAGGGGGAUGGAAUUCCGCGUGUAGCAGUGAAAUGCGUAGAUAUGCGGAGGAACACCGAUGGCGAAGGCAAUCCCCUGGACCUGUACUGACGCUCAUGCACGAAAGCGUGGGGAGCAAACAGG
RNAcentral lists this ribosomal RNA (253 nucleotides) under uncultured bacterium. RNAcentral describes it as "partial 16S ribosomal RNA". It matches the Rfam family "Bacterial small subunit ribosomal RNA", at positions 524 to 776 of the family's 1533-position model. The record is from RNAcentral.